RNAcentral lists this transfer RNA (71 nucleotides) under Dipodomys ordii (Ord's kangaroo rat). It matches the Rfam family "tRNA". From Rfam's summary of the family: Transfer RNA (tRNA) molecules are approximately 80 nucleotides in length. Their secondary structure includes four short double-helical elements and three loops (D, anti-codon, and T loops). Lineage: Eukaryota; Metazoa; Chordata; Mammalia; Rodentia; Heteromyidae. The record is from Rfam by way of RNAcentral.
GGUACUGUGGCUCAAGUGGUAGAGCGCUAGCCUUGCAUGCAUGAGGCCCUGGGUUCGAUUCCUCAGCACCA